RNAcentral lists this ribosomal RNA (301 nucleotides) under uncultured bacterium. Its description in RNAcentral is "partial 16S ribosomal RNA". It matches the Rfam family "Bacterial small subunit ribosomal RNA", at positions 509 to 807 of the family's 1533-position model. The record is from RNAcentral.
CAGCAGCCACGGUAAAACGAAGGGUGCAAGCGUUACUCGGAAUUACUGGGCGUAAAGCGCACGUAGGCGGACUUUUAAGUCAGGGGUGAAAUCCCGGGGCCCAACCCCGGAACUGCCUUUGAUACUGGGAGUCUUGAGUUCGAGAGAGGUGAGUGGAAUUGCGAGUGUAGAGGUGAAAUUCGUAGAUAUUCGCAGGAACACCAGUGGCGAAGGCGGCUCACUGGCUCGAUACUGACGCUGAGGUGCGAAAGCGUGGGGAGCAAACAGGAUUAGAUACCCUCGUAGUCCCUGUCUCUUAUAC